RNAcentral lists this ribosomal RNA (251 nucleotides) under uncultured prokaryote. RNAcentral describes it as "partial 16S rRNA". It matches the Rfam family "Bacterial small subunit ribosomal RNA", at positions 525 to 775 of the family's 1533-position model. The record is from RNAcentral.
ACGGGGGAUGCAAGCGUUAUCCGGAUUUAUUGGGUUUAAAGGGUGCGUAGGCGGUUUGAUAAGUCAGCGGUGAAAUAUUUCAGCUUAACUGAAAGGGUGCCGUUUAUACUGUCAGGCUUGAAUAUGGUUGCUGUGGGUGGAAUGUGUGGUGUAGCCGUGAAAUACUUAGAUAACAAGCAGAAUAUUGAUUGCGCGGGUAGCUCACAAAGCCAUUAUUGACGCUGAUACACGAAAGUGUGGGGAUCAAAAAG